AACGAACGCUGGCGGCAUGCCUAACACAUGCAAGUCGAACGAGACCUUCGGGUCUAGUGGCGCACGGGUGCGUAACGCGUGGGAACCUGCCCUUAGGUUCGGAAUAACUCCCCGAAAGGGGUGCUAAUACCGGAUAAUGUCUUCGGACCAAAGAUUUAUCGCCUUUGGAUGGGCCCGCGUUGGACUAGCUAGUUGGUAGGGUAAAAGCCUACCAAGGCGACGAUCCAUAGCUGGUCUGAGAGGAUGAUCAGCCACACUGGGACUGAGACACGGCCCAGACUCCUACGGGAGGCAGCAGUGGGGAAUAUUGGACAAUGGGCGAAAGCCUGAUCCAGCAAUGCCGCGUGAGUGAUGAAGGCCUUAGGGUUGUAAAGCUCUUUUACCCGGGAUGAUAAUGACAGUACCGGGAGAAUAAGCGCCGGCUAACUCCGUG
Molecule: ribosomal RNA, 433 nt
Filed under: uncultured bacterium
Lineage: Bacteria
Description: partial 16S ribosomal RNA
Rfam family: Bacterial small subunit ribosomal RNA
Source: RNAcentral